UACGAAGGGGGCUAGCGUUGUUCGGAAUCACUGGGCGUAAAGCGCACGUAGGCGGAUUGUUAAGUCGGAGGUGAAAUCCCAGGGCUCAACCCUGGAACUGCCUUCGAUACUGGCUAUCUCGAGUCCGGGAGAGGUGAGUGGAACUGCGAGUGUAGAGGUGAAAUUCGUAGAUAUUCGCAAGAACACCAGUGGCGAAGGCGGCUCACUGGCCCGGUACUGACGCUGAGGUGCGAAAGCGUGGGGAGCAAACAGG
Molecule: ribosomal RNA, 253 nt
Filed under: uncultured bacterium
Lineage: Bacteria
Description: partial 16S ribosomal RNA
Rfam family: Bacterial small subunit ribosomal RNA
Source: RNAcentral